AGCGAACGCUGGCGGCAGGCCUAACACAUGCAAGUCGAACGAACCUUUCGGGGUUAGUGGCGGACGGGUGAGUAACACGUGGGAACGUGCCUUUAGGUUCGGAAUAUCUCAGGGAAACUUGUGCUAAUACCGAAUGUGCCCUUCGGGGGAAAGAUCUAUCGCCUUUAGAGCGGCCCGCGUCUGAUUAGCUAGUUGGUUGAGGUAAUGGCUCACCAAGGCGACGAUCAGUAGCUGGUCUGAGAGGAUGAUCAGCCACAUUGGGACUGAGACACGGCCCAAACUCCUACGGGAGGCAGCAGUGGGGAAUCUUGCGCAAUGGGCGAAAGCCUGACGCAGCCAUGCCGCGUGAAUGAUGAAGGUCUUAGGAUUGUAAAAUUCUUUCACCGGGGACGAUAAUGACGGUACCCGGAGAAGAAGCCCCGGCUAACUUCGUG
This 434-nucleotide ribosomal RNA is filed under the name uncultured bacterium. RNAcentral describes it as "partial 16S ribosomal RNA". It matches the Rfam family "Bacterial small subunit ribosomal RNA", at positions 29 to 507 of the family's 1533-position model. The record is from RNAcentral.